GUGUUAAACUUAAUACACACAUUUCAAUGGGAUGUCGUUGGACUUGUACUUAUGACGGUUUCAUGAAACGCUGCCCAGAUCCCCGACACCGAACACCUGGGGAGGUUUCACGAAACCGUCAUUAAGUCUAACUUUUUAGACAUCGUAUUGAAACGUGUGAUAGAGAUCUAACACGUGUUUCUACCAAAUCUCCACGAGCUUAGACUUAUGGCAGUUUCGAGAAACUAGCACUCGCUCUGAAUCUGGCGCAUCCACGGCCACGCUGGAAGCUCGGAUCUGACCGCCUGCGAUGCAUGCCCCGGACGCGACGGCAGCCCGCUCUCGAGCUAACUCUCCAUCGCAUCGUGCAGCUGUCUUUCUUCUCUUUCACGAACACGGUUGCCCGACUGAAACAACUAGACCACAUUAGUAUCCUGACAUCAAGAUAGGUCUCUAUUAUGUGCCCAUCCGUCUGAUUAAGUCUUCUUUGGAGCAAACUGUCAGACAUUUGCGGUAGUAUACAGCUGAAAUGGAAUUUCCGUUCAACCAAACAGUAUACUUCAAGGCUAUUUCUCAGCGACGAGGGUUAGCUCCAGGUAGCAGUAGCAGGCUGGAAGUAACACACAUGUGCAGUGUUUCAGUCGAAAACGAAUACCACCCAUUCAAAAUCGGUUAUAGGAUCUUGUCCAUAUGUCCAUAUUUUUGUAUGCAUGUGAAACAUGGACCAUGACAGCAGACAUUAAAAGAAGGAUACAGGCACUGGAGAUGAAAUGUUUCCGCAAACUCCUCAGUAUCUGGUAUAGAGAUCACAUAACCAACGAGGUAGUGAAAAUCAGAAUUGGAAACACCAUAGGGCCGUAUGAAGACCUCCUGACUUCAGUGAAAAGAUGCAAAGUAAAGUGGUAUGGGUAUGUCACAUGAUCAUUUGGACUGGCCAAGACUAUUCUACAUGGAACAGUACAAGGAGGGAGACGAAAAGGCAGGCAGAGGAAACGAUGGGAAGACAACAUUAACGAGUGACCUUGACUGAAACAUCAUACUUCGUAAAGCCAAGAACCACGAGGAGUGGAGGAAGCUGGUAGUAUAAAUCUUCAGUGGUGCCCCAAGGGUCAGCCAGACUGUGGGAUAGGUGAAGGUGAAGGUGAAGGAAGCUAAGAAUCAGAUAGUUAGACAUUAUAUUGGAUCAUUUAUCCUUUCCUUCAAAAGGAAUGUUGCUUUAUACUGUAGCACAUAAACAAUGCUUUUUAAUUGGCAAUAUUUCAGUUCAGUACGCUUGUUAUUAAUUUCAUCAAACAUUAAAAUGUAAAAGGGAGAAACACUGUCAUUUGAAAAUCAAAAUGUAAGUCAUAAAAAUUUCACUGUCUAACUAUCUGAAUCUUGUCAGGAUCCAUGUACGAGUUAGUGCAAUUCUUUUCUCUUCACUACAACCGCAUUGAUUUACUUUAAUAGCAUGUUACUAGGUACAUCAAUUGAUGAGAAAAAGCAGCAAAACGCUUUAAAUUUGUUGUAGUCUUAAAAUUAAAGUUGGAAGUUUCCUAAAAAGGGAAUUUUAGAACACUCCUUCAACUGACAUGCACGGAUGUUAUACUUAUGAAUUUCCAUACAUUAAUGUCUUUGUAAUGCAUGUUACCAAACAAAAAAAAGUAUCAUCAACCAUUCUUGUCAUUUCCUGUGCAAUUAUUUUCACAUCCUGGCUUAACAGUACAUAAACAGUGCUCUUUUAUUUUCAAUAUUUCAGAAAAAUGCAUUUGCAUUAUGAUACAUGCAGGUAUAGUUGGUCAAGUAAGAAUAUAUUUACAGCAUGCUCACUAUGAAUUGAUUAAAUCGCCAUUGAAUCUAAAAGGUAUGUUAUACCUCAUUGUAUAUUCAGAAGGAAAAAGUGUGAGGAUAGCUUUAAAAAAAAAAAAAUCAUGAGUAUCCAUAAUGAUGUGAAUAUGUACAUGUUUGUUUGUUGCAUAUGAUUCUUCCUUGGUAUCAAAGCUGUAAUAAUUGCAUAUUUAUGAUUCAGCAUAAUACUUUGUUCAUUACAAAAAAAAUAUGUCAUAAUUUUCCAAAACGGUAGUGUAAAGAAUAAUGUAAGAUUGAGGUAAGAUUGUUACAUAUAUUCUCUAUACGUAUCAACUAAAAUGUAAGUUUUCAAAUGAGAUACUAUUUUGUCCCCAGAUGAAAUAAGUAAUGGAUCUUUUUUGUUAAAUGUCAGCAAAUGAUCUAAAUGAACAUGUGUUCGGGUAUAUCAAAUCUUGUACAUGUAGUUUCUAUAGCUAAUAUAGUUUGGAGGACUUAAAGAUAGAAAAACUGCUGAUUGAUUAAUUACCAUUGUUUGUAUUGUUCACUAUAACCAGCAAGUAAAGGGACAUUUAGUAGAUGCCAAGAAAGUAUUUCCAAAGCAAUUACAUUUCUCUUAUCCUGUAAUGUAUUUUUUGCGUCAAUAAAAGCAAAUGUGAGGGUUGUCCACAUAACAUCACAACUACAGAACAGUUUAAUUGAAAUUAACAUACAUAUUACAUGUAUAUAUGUGUAUUAUGGAAUAACUUAGAAUAUUUCAUAAUUUGUUAUUAUUAUCCAGUUCAUUACAUUUUUACCAAUGUAUUUCUUCAAUAUUUCUACUUUUCCUCAGAGCAUAUGCUGUGAACUAAUGGAUAUUCCUUGUCAGUUCCAUCAUGUUAUGUCAAUGGGCUUACACUGUAUGCGUGUACAUGUCCUUUUUGCAAUGUACAUGUGCUACGAAAAUGUCAACAAUAUUGUUUGAGAUAUAAAAUAUAGAGUUAACAAGUGAAUUAUUCA
RNAcentral lists this long non-coding RNA (2763 nucleotides) under Strongylocentrotus purpuratus (purple sea urchin). RNAcentral describes it as "uncharacterized LOC115921040". The record is from RNAcentral. Lineage: Eukaryota; Metazoa; Echinodermata; Echinoidea; Camarodonta; Strongylocentrotidae.